This 255-nucleotide ribosomal RNA is filed under the name uncultured bacterium. RNAcentral's name for it is "partial 16S ribosomal RNA". It matches the Rfam family "Bacterial small subunit ribosomal RNA", at positions 524 to 776 of the family's 1533-position model. The record is from RNAcentral.
UACGGAGGAUGCAAGCGUUAUCCGGAAUGAUUGGGCGUAAAGCGUCCGCAGGUGGCUGUGUAAGUCUGCUGUUAAAUAGUGAGGCUCAACCUCAUAAAGGCAGUGGAAACUACACGGCUAGAGUGCGUUCGGGGCAGAGGGAAUUCCUGGUGUAGCGGUGAAAUGCGUAGAGAUCAGGAAGAACACCGGUGGCGAAGGCGGCCUGCUGGGCAGUUUAGCUGACACUGAGGCGCGACAGCGUGGGGAGCAAACAGG